RNAcentral lists this ribosomal RNA (2126 nucleotides) under human gut metagenome. RNAcentral describes it as "bacterial LSU rRNA". It matches the Rfam family "Bacterial large subunit ribosomal RNA", at positions 14 to 2019 of the family's 2925-position model. The record is from RNAcentral.
AGGGCGUAUGGUGGAUGCCUUGGCAGACAGUACCGAUGAAGGACGUUUGAGGCUGCGAUAUGCCUCGGGGAGCCGCCAGCAGGGCUUUGAUCCGAGGAUUUCCGAAUGGGGGAACCCGCCGGCCGUCAUGGGCCGGCACCGCGUUCGCGCGGGGGGUACGCAGGGAAGUGAAACAUCUCAGUACCUGCAGGAAAGGAUGUUCCGUGAGUAGUGGCGAGCGAAAGCGGAUCAGGCCAAACCGCGCGCGUGUGACAGGCGCCAGCCGUUGCGCGCGUGGUGUUGAGGGAGCGUGUGUCCGGGUCCUGGCGGGCCCGGCCGGAGUGAUAAAACGGCGUGUGAGGCGAACCGGAUUGAAUGCCGGGCCGCAGAGGGUGAUGGCCCCGUAGCCGAACGCGCGUCGUCUCCGGAUCGUGUUUCCCAAGUAGCGCGGGACUCGUGGAAUCCCGUGUGAAUCCGCCCCGACCGUGGGGUAAGCCUAGAUAUACCUGUCUGACCGAUAGCGAACUAGUACCGUGAGGGAAAGGUGAAAAGCACCCCGGGAGGGGAGUGAAACAGUCUCUGAAACCGUGCGCUUACAAACCGUCGGAGCCUUUCGGGGUGACGGCGUGCCUAUCGAAAAAUGAGUCUGCGAGUCAGUGGCACGUGGCGAGCGUAACCCGUGUGGGGUACGCGUAGCGAAGGCGAGUCUCAAAAGGCGUUUGAGUCGCGUGUCCUGGACCCGAAGCGGGAUGAUCUAGCCCUGAGCAGGUUGAAGCGCGGGUAAGACCGCGUGGAGGACCGAACCCACCUGGGUUGAAAACCGGGGGGAUGACUUGGGGCUAGGGGUGAAAGGCCAAUCAAAUUCCGUGAUAGCUGGUUCUCUCCGAAAUGCAUUUGGGUGCAGCGUCGGGUCAUUACGUCCCGGGGGUAGAGCUACUGGAUGCUUGCGGGCCCGUAUCGGGUACCAACAGCAACCAAACUCCGAAUACCGGUGACGCGUAUCCCGGCAGUGAGUCGGCGGGGGAUAAGCUUCGUCGUCGAAAGGGAAACAGCCCAGACCGUCGUCUAAGGUCCCGAAGCGUGUGCUAAGUGGGAAAGGAUGUGGAGUCGCAUAGACAGCCAGGAGGUUGGCUCAGAAGCAGCCACCCUUGAAAGAGUGCGUAACAGCUCACUGGUCUAGUGGUUCCGCGCCGACAAUGUAGCGGGGCUCAAGCACGCCACCGAAGACGCGGCAGCGUCCGUUUGGAUGCUGGGUAGGAGAGCGUCCCCAUCGGGGCGAAGCGGCGGCGCAAGCCUGCCGUGGACCGUUGGGGAGUGAGAAUGCAGACAUGAGUAGCGAGAGGCGGGUGCGAAUCCCGCCCGCUGGAUGACCAAGGGUUCCGGGGCCACGUUCGUCGUCCCCGGGUGAGUCGGGUCCUAAGGCGAGGCCGACAGGCGUAGUCGAAUGGAUGAACGGGCUGAUAUUCCCGUACCGGCAGCGAACCGAAACAACCGAGGCCUGGGGCGCUAACCUCCGGGUCCGUGCCGUCUCCCCUUUCGGGGGGUCGCGGCGCGGGCGCGUUGGGAUCCCCCCUCGUAGUAGGUCAGCGCAGGAGUGACGCAUCAGGGCAGCCGGCCGCGGAGGUGGUUUUCCGUGGUCAAGCGUUCGAGCCCGUCCCGCAGGCAAAUCCGCGGGGCGUCGGGGCGAGGCGUGAUGAUGGGGGCCUUACGGCCCGAAUCCGGUGAUCCGUGGUGCCGAGAAAAGCUUCGGCGUCAGGCGCGUUGCCGCCCGUACCCCAAACCGACACUGGUGGUCAGGUAGAGAAUACCAAAGCGAUCGAGCGAAUCCUGGUCAAGGAACUCGGCAAAUUGCUCCCGUGCCUUCGGCAUAAGGGAGACCCCCUGCGGUGAUGAGCGGCGGGGGGUGGCACAGGCCAGGGGGUAGCGACUGUUUACCAAAAACACAGGAGCGUGCGAAGGCGCAAGCCGCUGUAUACGCUCUGACGCCUGCCCGGUGCCGGAAGGUUAAGAGGAUCCGUCAGCUUCUGCGAAGCGGUGAAUUCAAGCCCCGGUAAACGGCGGUGGUAACUAUAACCAUCCUAAGGUAGCGAAAUUCCUUGUCGGGUAAGUUCCGACCUGCACGAAUGGCGUAACGACUUCCCCACUGU